This is a non-coding RNA of Hordeum vulgare subsp. vulgare (domesticated barley), 125 nucleotides long. NCBI's taxonomy places the organism in Eukaryota, Viridiplantae, Streptophyta, Magnoliopsida, Poales, Poaceae. The record is from Rfam.
UAAGUACUCCCUACGUCCGAAAAUACUUGCGCGAGAAAUGCAUAAAAAUGAAUGCAUCUAAAACUAAAAUAUAUAUAAAUACAUUUAUUUUUUGGACAAGUAUUUUUGGACCAAGGGAGUAUAAA